CAGUAGCCACGGUAAUACGUAGGUGGCAAGCGUUGUCCGGAAUUAUUGGGCGUAAAGCGCGCGCAGGUGGUUUAAUAAGUCUGAUGUGAAAGCCCACGGCUCAACCGUGGAGGGUCAUUGGAAACUGUUAAACUUGAGUGCAGGAGAGAAAAGUGGAAUUCCUAGUGUAGCGGUGAAAUGCGUAGAGAUUAGGAGGAACACCAGUGGCGAAAGCGGCUUUUUGGCCCGUAACUGACACUGAGGCGCGAAAGCGUGGGGAGCAAACAGGAUUAGAUACCCCUGUAGUCCCUGUCUCUUAUAC
This 301-nucleotide ribosomal RNA is filed under the name uncultured bacterium. Its description in RNAcentral is "partial 16S ribosomal RNA". It matches the Rfam family "Bacterial small subunit ribosomal RNA", at positions 509 to 807 of the family's 1533-position model. The record is from RNAcentral.